AAAAGUGGGUCGUCCUACAGCUUCAAAG
This 28-nucleotide non-coding RNA is filed under the name Cricetulus griseus (Chinese hamster). The record is from RNAcentral. Lineage: Eukaryota; Metazoa; Chordata; Mammalia; Rodentia; Cricetidae.